Molecule: long non-coding RNA, 2220 nt
Organism: Oncorhynchus tshawytscha (Chinook salmon)
Lineage: Eukaryota; Metazoa; Chordata; Actinopteri; Salmoniformes; Salmonidae
Exons: 2
Source: RefSeq, a predicted model, not a curated record
AGCGUAAACGGUAAUUCCGGAUUGUCGGGGUUCCCUCUGAAACGUUGGCCGUCACCCAUCAUCAUCAUUACGCACUGAGACAGUGCCAUUCCGCAACAUUUGCGGACCAAGGCAUCAAGGAAUGUACUUGUUGCGAACCAUACCGCGGCGUCAGUGUCCAAAAGCAGUCAAAUGCUGCGCAUGCACAACCUAUUGGUGUCUUCAGUCAAUGGAACCUGCCUAAUCCAUCACACGAAAAAAACUAGAUUGGAAGAUUAUCAAUUUACUCAGUUAGUUGUGCGGCGAGACCCGGAAACAUUGUUUUAUUAUUUUGUCACAUGGCUGAGAGAUUUCAAUAACAACAAAAAAUGGCGACAAUCACGUUGUUCGAUGUGGGUCUUGCUGCGUCAUUAAAACUAUUCACGUAAACACGGGAAUGAAACGCGCAAAAUGCAAAAAACAGCAACAAGCUUUCCCGACAACGUGGAGUUGAAUAUCUGGAACCAUUGAAAUGUGAUGAUUGCUUUCAAUAUUGUUCUUUCGCGUUUUAAACGUGUAUUUAAUGUAUAGGCUACCUGGUCUGCGCUUCACGAUUAUUGAAGGGUCCGAGAUACGCUAUCAUGAUAAUAUACUAAGUACAGUCUAUUGGGAGUUGUAUAUGCUAAUUACAUUUUACAGUUACGCAACCAAUGUUAUGUUUUGCUCGAUUGAACUGUUGUCUCAACCUUGCGCAGCAGGUUAUUUUUCAAGUAAGUGUUGGCAAGUGCUCCUGCAAUUCUGUGAUACCAAAACAGAACCAGCAAAUCGAGUUGUUUACAUGAAGCGGAGGGAGAAGGAGAUAGGGAGGAGCCUCCUCCGGUGGGCUACGCGACUGGACUGCUGGAGAGCCUUCGCGCACUGAGGGCGGAACCCCAAGAACCAUAACAAGUCCGACGUCAGCUAUGUGGUGUGCAUAAAUUAUGCAGUUCAAACACUACCGAGUAAACAGUGGUGACUUCGACCAAUUAGCAAGGUUUUAUUCCUUUAGUCUACAUGUAUCUGUUGUAUAGGAAAUUAUCUUUCAAAGGGGUUUAUGAAAAAGCUGAUAUGCUACAGUAGUUACACAUGUAUUGGUAGGUAUUACAUUCAUGUGAGGUGAGAAAGAAACAUCUUACUAAUGGUAGUAAAAUACCUUUCUAGAAUUCUGUAAUGCCUGUGUGGAAUUCAUAGCACAUACACAAUUCACAAUUAUAUCCUGUGAAUAAUUACAAAGCUUUGCAGAUUUUGGUAACCUAUUAGAGAAACCUCUUUACAUUACUUCUGCAUGCAAUGCAAUGUUCUCGUUCUGGUAAUGUGAUACCAUGAAAUACAUAAAUACAGACAUGAUAUUUGGAUUUGACGUAUUGUCAAACAUAGUCAUUUUGUUACUCCGAUGACAUGUGCAUGAAGUAAAUGCACUUUCUGCAAUGUCCAAAGGCACCCCCACCUGCCCGACCCUAUACAGUGUCAUGUCAUUCUAAGUCCCUCUUUUGGCACGAUUCCAUCUGCAAAAGAAUAGUGUGACUGGCAAGAUAUUAUUGUUGCUCUGGGCUCCAAGUCGUGUGUGUGUGCGUGCGUGCGUGUGUCAUCAUGUGUGAGCCUGGCAUCAUGAAGACGGAUGGCAUCUGACCCCUUGGAUCACCAUGGCUGAUGUUGUACUGUGCUGGAACUCAGACCAACUCUUGACCAACUGCUGUCUCUUAGCUUCCUAACAUGACAUCCAGGCUGCCCUGGUUCAGUUAUCACUGUGCUGAUGCUGUCCAUCUUAAAGGUACAGUACUGUGAUAACUGAAGGAUGGCUGCCACCUUGACACACCCGACCCACUUUGUGAUGAUGGAUGGAGAUGGUACUGCUGUAUCGAAGGUGAAGUUUUUCAUUGAUAUCACUGGUGCUCCCAACUUUAAAAAGUUAGAACAACAUAAAAUUUAGGAGCACCAGAAAAUAUGAUUUUUCAACUUGAUUGAGAUAUAGCCUAUAUUGGGCCUACAUGAAUUCUAGCUCCCGAAGCACAUGCUGUACUCUAUAAACUAAUAUGUAACCCUGUAAAGACAGUUGUUUAUUGUAAAAAGCUGUACAUGGUUAUACAAGUACCUGUUAUUGAAGUUACAAAGUUAUUUGUAGAAUAAUAGGUUUCUACAUUGUGUAAAAACACUAUUUUCAAACCAGCAUCCUGCUGUACAAUAUCACACGUACCCCUGCCAAUAAAGACUAUGGUGAGUCAA